AUAAGCACUCUCAGGAUAACUGCUGGGACACUUUCUCUGGAAAUUGAUGGUUAAGAUGGAAUAAGGAGCUUGAGUCAAUCUCUGGGAGACAUCAGGACAAGCAUCUGCGGGGUUUGCUGUUUCCAAGGGUACUCAAGCAUAGCCACUGCUCAGGCUCUGAGGUUCUGGAGGCUGGAACAGCAUCUCCCAACUGACCCAGAUUUUAAUCACCAAUGACGGUAGCAUGUUAACGUCAGGAUCACGCAUCUUCCAAAUGUCUGAAAAGAUUCAGUAAGUGUGGAAAAUGAACUUCACAGAAGUCAACUGAAAUGCUAUUUUCUCUUGGUUGAAAAAGAGCUCAAGAUUAUGGACAGGUUUUUGUGUGGACGUUAAAUUUUCAACUCCUUUGGAUGAAUAACAAGGAUCACCAUGGCUGGAUCAUAUGCUCAGGGCCUGAUUGUAUUUGGGCUCUUGAAAGAAAAGGAUCUGAACAGGGCACUCUGCCCUGAUUAUCCUUCUACUACUUCCUAUGGAAGGGGUCAGGAGUAGGAAGAGGAGGAAGAGGCCACGCUGGUGGCGCUGUGCAUGAGGAAAGUGCAGCCUGUGGGACUUAGGCCAAGACCCUGAAGGAGGACAUCAGCAAUUACGGUUCCACGUGUUCGACCUCACAAAACAGUGUUCUCCAGAUUCGACAAGCUGUAGUCAACUGCUGUCUUUUCAUCUCUUCAUUGGAGCAUUAAUGAAAAAGAAGCUUCCUAUUGAUUGUAAUUUUUAAUGCUGCUGUUCACUCCUCGCCCAGCUGACUUGGAUAUUCUGAGGAGGGCUCCAGCUUGAAGGUGCCCUGGCUGCCAGCCACCACUCUCCAGGUCUCCUCGCCUCUGGCUGCUCCUUUGUGGCCAGAAUACAAAAUGAGGGAGAGGCAAUGCAGGCCAGAGUCUGCAGGUAGUUGGAACACUCUCACAGAACGCUUGAAGACCUCAAUGGCUCCCAAGAAGUAAUCUGCUUUCCCUACUUCUCCCCUCAGUCUCCAUCUUCAGGGUCUGGGUUCCUUCACUUGGCCUCAUGCUGAGAAUCCUGUUGCCCUGGUCAAACUGGUAGCUGGCCAGGUAGAGAUCUCUCUUCUCUCCUGGCAGUCACAUCUCACAGAGAACCUGACUUAUGCUCUUAAGCAGAGGAUUCCAAAUCUCUCUGUGCUCACUGCUUCCUAACUGUUCUGGAAAAGUGGUUCACGGGCUGCCAUGCCUGUCACAAAGGAAAAGGGCGCAUUACAGAUAUUGAGGGCAUUUCUGCCACCACCCAAGCCACGGUGCUUGUUCCAGAAUAAAGGACCGCAGGUGCCCUUGCUCCUGGAUCACUUUUGUACUUGCCUGUCCUGUCAUUGGCUUGUCACUGGCUGCUCAUCUUGCCACUUCUUCAAUUCAGAUGACCCUGAUAGAACUUAAUCCUUUAAUUAGGCAAUUAGCACAUCUCCACUGAACAGGAUUUGUCCUUGUUGAGCUGGGGAAAGAAACUGCACAUCAUGGGAAAAGAGGAAACGGCAAUUCAGUGUGUGGGAAGUGCAGAGAGAACUGGUUUGGCCUUCGUCAAGGGGCAGUGGUGGUGCGGUCAGCAGCUUUCAGAGCUACUCUUCCCGGGCAGUGGCCGAGAUCCAGUUCUUAACAGUUCGCAAACAUACACCAGUUCUUAGGUUAUCGAGGGAGGGACAGGUUGGACCCCUCCUUGGUGAGCUUGUACUUCUGCCCUUCCUUUCCUUCACCACUUCAGGCUUUAUAAUAUUGGCCAUCAUUCACUCUAGAUUUCCUCUGUACUCAUCCUCAUCUUA
This is a long non-coding RNA of Ailuropoda melanoleuca (giant panda), 1801 nucleotides long. RefSeq lists it as uncharacterized. NCBI's taxonomy places the organism in Eukaryota, Metazoa, Chordata, Mammalia, Carnivora, Ursidae. The record is from RefSeq and is a predicted model, not a curated record. The transcript is spliced from 4 exons.